GAGGCAGGUCAUCAAAUAUAGAAUUAGUUCUUUGGGGCGCUUCCUGUGGAGAAGUAGUUCUUUGGGAUGCUGCCUGUGGAGGAGGAUUGUCCGAGGAGGAUGUUUCAGAUUUAGCGUUUUUGUUGCCUGAAGAACCAGACAGAAGUUCCUUGCUACUACUCGAAGCCAUAAGAAUAACUGAUCCUGGCGCGGGAAGAUUGAAGGGAAGAACGAG
Molecule: unclassified non-coding RNA, 214 nt
Filed under: Hevea brasiliensis (rubber tree)
Lineage: Eukaryota; Viridiplantae; Streptophyta; Magnoliopsida; Malpighiales; Euphorbiaceae
Source: RNAcentral